Molecule: non-coding RNA, 1960 nt
Organism: Schizosaccharomyces pombe (fission yeast)
Lineage: Eukaryota; Fungi; Ascomycota; Schizosaccharomycetes; Schizosaccharomycetales; Schizosaccharomycetaceae
Source: the annotation of a GenBank genome assembly
CAAUAAUGGUUUCAUUGUAUAUUUCUAGAAAUUGUCCUUCCAUCCGAUAUUCCCAACCUCGUUCUUUCAAAGAAGUAGAGCGAUUGUAUAUCAUUCUUACAGAUGAAGGGAUCAUUCCUGUAUUUGAAGACAUCGUAUGCGUCUUGCCUGAACCUGUUUGACCGUAAGCGAAUAUACAAACAUUAUAUCCGUCCAUAGCACUUUGAAUUAACUGUGACAGUUCAUUAAAUACAUCCUCAUUAGUCGUUUCAGGGGAAAAUACACGAUCGAAAUUAAAGGCAUACUGUUUUAUCCCGUUCCCUGUUAACGAAGACCCUGGGGCUUGAGCAACAAUCUCUAUAGUACUAGCUUCGGAAUUUUGAUCAGGAAAAGCUAUUUGUGCUGAUUCUCCAUCGCCAAGGGGAGGUCGCACUCGACAAAAAACGCGUAUGUUACCUUUAAGUUCUUGAAUGGUAUUAUGGAGUUUUCUUCUCAGAGUUUCCUCAGCUAUGAGUUUCUCAACUAAACCGUCUCUCUCAACAUUGGCAGAUUUUAAAAUGCCUUCUAGUUCUAUAAUCUUAUUUUUCAUAGUAUAAACAUCUUCUUCAAGUGUUUUGAUAGUGCUUUCUAAAGCCCGAUUUGUAGAUUCAAGCUUCUGAACGUUGGCACUUUGUUGGUCCAACGAAGAUUUCAGAUUUUCCUUAACAACUGUUUCAGAAGCAAGUUCUCUUUGUAAUUGUUCAAUCUGCUGUUUCAAAGAAUUAUUUUCUUCCUGAAGCGGUUGAAUUGCAGAUUGCAGUCUUUUUUUUUCUAGAUCAUGCUUAUUUUGGACACGUUGCAUAGCCAGCGAAGCGCCCUCCUGAACUUUCUUUAAUAAAGAAUCCUUUUCCUCUUGUAGUCUGGAAAUUUUGAGUUCAUUUUCUGAAGUAAGCUCUUUAAUCUUGUGUGAAAAGUGUUCUUCGGCAGACUGCAAUUCAUUUUUGUACUCCAUGAUUAAACUAUUUGCUUUUUGUUCAAUAUUGGAAGCAAAAUCCUGUAAUUCUGCUUGAUGCUGAAGCUCAGCUGUCUCCAUCACCCGAGCAUGGUUCUCUUCCAACAUGGCCAUGCGCUGAUGAUUUUCACUUUUCAUUGAGUUUAACAUUAUCUCCAAACUCUCCAUACCCUUUUGAGAAACGAUUUUAUUAGCCUCCGCCUCAGCUUUUUCUCUCAGAGCCACUGAAAAUUGUUCUUGUAACUCCGAUGUACGACUCCUCUCGACUUCUAAUGAUUCUUCAAGCAUAGCAAUUCUCUGUUCGUAAAAUUUGUAAUUAGCUGGUCUUUUUGAGGGUGAAGGAAUAACUUUAGCCGAUAAUUGAGCAUAAGCCAUUUCCAUACUCCUCAACCGGUCUUCUGUAGUCCUUAAGGCGCUGGCAUUAACAGACUUUUCAUCAUUAUAAGAUUCCAUACUUUCAUCUGACAUACUUCUCACAUCAUCGCUACUAUUUAAACUGGAUGAAACAGCACUGGCAGGUCUACCAAAAUGAGAAGAAGCAGACACUGACCGACUUGAAAUGGGAUGUGCAGACUUGGGCAUCCUGGGAUUAGAGGACGCGGUAAAAGGCCUGGCUUUUUUUGCAAGACUAGAAGAUUUAACCGAGGCUAAGCUUCCUGGUGGUAACAUCUUACUGGGAAAUUUAGCAGGUUUCAGUUGGUUAACUUCAUUUUGCAAUGAUAACCGAGGUUUCAGAAUAUUUGAUGAAGAUGAAUUAGUUUUAAUAGUCGGAGGAGGUAUAUUAGACGUAAAUUCUUUAGCAAUUUCUCGACUUUGCGACAAAGAACUCGAGGACUGAGGUAGAUGCGACUAUAAGGAAAAAAAUUAAUAAAUUACACUUAAAUUUGUUCUUACAGUUAAACUUUUAUGUCCUUCUUCUUCCAUACUUUCUCCUUUUCCCCAAAAACAUGUGGGUAUUGUAAGGUGUUAGAGAAGUUGAGUUUCAUAAGC